RNAcentral lists this ribosomal RNA (467 nucleotides) under uncultured bacterium. RNAcentral's name for it is "partial 16S ribosomal RNA". It matches the Rfam family "Bacterial small subunit ribosomal RNA", at positions 31 to 507 of the family's 1533-position model. The record is from RNAcentral.
GAGGAAAGCUGGCGGCGUGCUUAACACAUGCAAGUCGAACGGAAAGGCCUCUUUCGGGGGGUACUCGAGUGGCGAACGGGUGAGUAACACGUGAGUAACCUGCCCUUGACUUUGGGAUGACUUAAGGCAACUGGGGCUAAUACCGGAUAGGAGCUCCUGCUGCCUGGUGGGGGUUGGAAAGUUUCGGCGGUUGGGGAUGGACUCGCGGCUUAUCAGCUUGUUGGUGGGGUAGUGGCUUACCAAGGCUUUGACGGGUAGCCGGCCAGAGAGGGUGACCGGCCACAUUGGGACUGAGAGACGGCCCAGACUCCUACGGGAGGCAGCAGUGGGGAAUAUUGCACAAUGGGUGGAAGCCGGAUGCAGCAACGCCGUGUGCGGGAUGACGGCCUUCGGGUUGUAAACCGCUUUCGCUCAUGACGAAGCUUUGUGUGACGGUAGUGAAUAAAGAAGCACCGGCUAACUACGUG